UCAAUUUCAAGAUCAUUCCAUCUCAAAUUCAUCAAGGCUAGAGUCCAUCUGAUACCCUUAACUAGGGUUUUGACCCAAAGUUAAAUGUUUGACUUUUUAGCCUAGGCAUGAUCCCAAAGCUUGAAGUAUGAUUCAAAUACUUCAAAUACAUCAUAAGUGAUCCAUUCACAUUAUCCAAUGUGCCCAAGAGAUCCCAUUCAUUAAAGAUUGUAAGAAUUGGAUUCAUCUGAUACAAAGUCAACUGAGGCAAAGUCAACGUUUGACUUUUGACAUUUUUG
This 278-nucleotide long non-coding RNA is filed under the name Lathyrus oleraceus (garden pea). Its description in RNAcentral is "Pisum sativum (pea) long non-coding RNA (PSAT_LNC016276)". The record is from RNAcentral. Lineage: Eukaryota; Viridiplantae; Streptophyta; Magnoliopsida; Fabales; Fabaceae.